RNAcentral lists this small RNA (73 nucleotides) under Verrucomicrobiota bacterium. RNAcentral's name for it is "Verrucomicrobia bacterium Acido-Lenti-1". It matches the Rfam family "Acido-Lenti-1 RNA". Lineage: Bacteria; Pseudomonadati; Verrucomicrobiota. The record is from RNAcentral.
CCCAGGGCUGCCAUCCGCACAUGGAAUCAUGUGCGGGGCGCCCUGGGCUAUCAUCUUUCGCCCCUCCAGGGCU